This 253-nucleotide ribosomal RNA is filed under the name uncultured bacterium. RNAcentral's name for it is "partial 16S ribosomal RNA". It matches the Rfam family "Bacterial small subunit ribosomal RNA", at positions 524 to 776 of the family's 1533-position model. The record is from RNAcentral.
UACGUAGGUGGCAAGCGUUGUCCGGAUUUACUGGGCGUAAAGAGCGCGCAGGCGGUCGUUCAAGUCGCGUGUGAAAGCCCCCGGCUCAACUGGGGAGGGUCACGCGAUACUGAUCGACUGGAAGGCAGGAGAGGGUAGUGGAAUUCCCGGUGUAGUGGUGAAAUGCGUAGAUAUCAGGAGGAACACCGAUGGCGAAGGCAGGUCUCUGGGCAUUAACUGACGCUGAGGAGCGAAAGCAUGGGGAGCGAACAGG